Molecule: non-coding RNA, 139 nt
Organism: Gossypium raimondii (Peruvian cotton)
Lineage: Eukaryota; Viridiplantae; Streptophyta; Magnoliopsida; Malvales; Malvaceae
Source: Rfam
UAUUAAAAUUUUUAUUUAUUUCUACUAUUAAAAACUAGCGUAAUUGACAGUAACAAACAAUUACACGUGGCUUGCCACAUGUGCCUCAUUCUAAGACAGAAUUAAUUUUUAACAGUAAAAAUAGAUAAAAUUUUUAAUA